AAGUCGUAACAAGGUUUCCGUAGGUGAACCUGCGGAAGGAUCAUUAACACGAAUUUAUUAUCCAAUAUCAAAACCAAACGUGAACUUUUCCCCUCCCUAUUUUUAAUCAAAUAGGCUAACUUUUUAUAAAUUUUAAACCCCUUAAACUUAACUAGUUUUAGCUUAAUGUCUAAAACUACUAACUAAAAAAAUAAUCUUGAUUUUAUUAUUAAGGUUGAUUUUUUCGAUUUACGAAAAAUAAAGAACAACUCUUAACAAUGGAUAUCUUGGUUCUC
This is an unclassified non-coding RNA of 275 nucleotides. The stretch from base 1 to 46 matches the Rfam family "Eukaryotic small subunit ribosomal RNA", at positions 1786 to 1831 of the family's 1831-position model.